GCUGGGUGAGGGGGCGCACACCUGUGAUCCCAGCAGCUCCAGAGGCUGAGGCAGGAGGAUCUCGAGUACAAAGCCAGCCUCAGCAACUGAGUGAGGCCCUGAGCAAUUUAGUGAGACCCUGUCUCUA
RNAcentral lists this small RNA (127 nucleotides) under Marmota monax (woodchuck). The record is from RNAcentral. Lineage: Eukaryota; Metazoa; Chordata; Mammalia; Rodentia; Sciuridae.